Dipodomys spectabilis (banner-tailed kangaroo rat) is the source of this 364-nucleotide long non-coding RNA. RefSeq lists it as uncharacterized. The transcript is spliced from 5 exons. Lineage: Eukaryota; Metazoa; Chordata; Mammalia; Rodentia; Heteromyidae. The record is from RefSeq and is a predicted model, not a curated record.
UUCAGACCCCAGAGCAGAAGUAGACUUUCAGCAUAACAGUCUUUCCUAGCAUCCAAAGAACAGCCAAAGUCCCAUGGAUGACCAGGAAUCACCUAUGUAUUACCGUGAUACAGAAAUGCCACAACAAUCAUCUGGAGAACAAGGCUGUUCCCGGUGUCUGAUGGUACACAGUGAUAUAGAGAAACUCAAGGAACAACUAGCGGCCAUUCAGUCCCUCACUGAGAAGUUCCAGUCCCUUGGAAUUUGAAUCCAGUAUCUUCAUACACAACAAUCAUUCAGUGCUUGGAACCCAGAAAGUGUUGCUCAACGGCUUCAGAACAGUUCUUCUACACCCAGUACCUCUCCUUGGUUCCCUGCCCCCCCU